RNAcentral lists this ribosomal RNA (253 nucleotides) under uncultured bacterium. RNAcentral describes it as "partial 16S ribosomal RNA". It matches the Rfam family "Bacterial small subunit ribosomal RNA", at positions 524 to 776 of the family's 1533-position model. The record is from RNAcentral.
UACGUAGGUGGCAAGCGUUGUCCGGAAUUAUCGGGCGUAAAGCGCGCGCAGGCGGUCCCUUAAGUCUGAUGUGAAAGCCCACGGCUCAACCGUGGAGGGUCAUUGGAAACUGGGGGACUUGAGUACAGAAGAGGAAAGCGGAAUUCCACGUGUAGCGGUGAAAUGCGUAGAGAUGUGGAGGAACACCAGUGGCGAAGGCGGCUUUCUGGUCUGUAACUGACGCUGAGGCGCGAAAGCGUGGGGAGCAAACAGG